GUGAGGAAUAUUGGACAAUGGGCGCAAGCCUGAUCCAGCCAUGCCGCGUGCAGGAAGACGCAUCUAUGGUGUGUAAACUGCUUUUGUACGGGAAGAAACACUCCCUCGUGAGGGAGCUUGACGGUACCGUAAGAAUAAGGAUCGGCUAACUCCGUGCCAGCAGCCGCGGUAAUACGGAGGAUCCAAGCGUUAUCCGGAAUCAUUGGGUUUAAAGGGUCCGUAGGCGGUUUAAUAAGUCAGUGGUGAAAGCCCAUCGCUCAACGAUGGAACGGCCAUUGAUACUGUUAGACUUGAAGUACAAGGAAGUAACUAGAAUAUGUAGUGUAGCGGUGAAAUGCUUAGAUAUUACAUGGAAUACCAAUUGCGAAGGCAGGUUACUACUUGUGGAUUGACGCUGACGGACGAAAGCGUGGGGAGCGAACAGGAUUAGAUACCCCAGUAGUCC
Molecule: ribosomal RNA, 445 nt
Filed under: uncultured bacterium
Lineage: Bacteria
Description: partial 16S ribosomal RNA
Rfam family: Bacterial small subunit ribosomal RNA
Source: RNAcentral